GGACAUGUUCUUAGCAUGUUCUUAAAAUUUGGUGAAAUAUCAGCCCCGACAUGUUCUUAGCAUGUUCUUAAAAUUUGGUGAAAUCUCAGGCUGGAGGUUCUUAUAAAAAAGGAGUGUACACCCCGCUGCACAUCCAGGGCUUUCACGGGUGCUUAAAAUCCUAGAAAAGCCUGAAUUUUAAAAAUUAAAUUCAAAAGUCAUGGAAAAUAAUCACCCGGAAGAAAACUAUUGAGACGUUGAGGCCACUUCUUUUCAUGUGCCGUUCCAAGUGUAAAUUUAUGUUUAUUUCUAAUGACCUGUGAAAAGUGAGUAUUUUAUUUUAGAUUUUAUAAACCUUUAAAAAGACGGUAACGUGACUUCAUUUUUUUGUCCGUGAUCUUGGUAACGCAAUCUUUAAGAUGAUUUGCUGAAUAACAAUAGAGCGCUACCUUGCGAAAUUUCCCUGCACGUGAAAAUGUCUCCCAGGUCCACAACAUAAAUAAUUAGAGGGUUUUCGAUGAGCAUGCAUGUCUUUUGGCUCGGAACAGCGAAGGGUUCAAACCACUUUAUUCUCGACUUCGUACGACUGGCCACGGACGGGACUUGGCGAGUAACUGUAUGGGAAGGAUCCUUAAAGCUCCACCGAUACAAGGUGUUCCUCUGGAGCAAAACAUCGGAAUUGACAAAGAGAGUCAGUGUGUGCCUGCAUAUUUUUACCAGCAUUGCGUCCAAACUUGCACGGGGCGUGAAGCCAGUAGAGACUGCCAGUGGAGAUUGACAGAACCGUCGAAAAACAUUCAGUUAGGGGCGGGGAAGUUUGUCAUAUAUGUGGACUCGCAGAAACAAGUGCUUUGUGAGGUAAAAACGUCGAUUAACUGCUUUGGAGAACGCUGUGCAAAAGGUUCAGUGUUACCAAAGGGCGUAGGGAGGAAAUUCAAUAAGCACGGUACGCUUUUUUUUUUGUUUCUAGAAAAUCUACGCCCUUUGUUCACCUAUCUAACCUUAACAAAAACGCGAAUGUUCUAAUUUAACUAUUUAUUGUUUUUCUGUUCAUUGAGUGUCGUUAGAACCAAUAGGAAAUGUUGCGAAUAUAAAUGUUGUAAAGAGAAAAUUACUUAGUUCAAGGGAAAGCCUUAAUUACAGAAACAAUUGAAAUAAAAGAGAAUGGGGUAAA
Nematostella vectensis (starlet sea anemone) is the source of this 1153-nucleotide long non-coding RNA. RefSeq lists it as uncharacterized. The record is from RefSeq and is a predicted model, not a curated record. The transcript has 2 exons. Lineage: Eukaryota; Metazoa; Cnidaria; Anthozoa; Actiniaria; Edwardsiidae.